Molecule: ribosomal RNA, 497 nt
Filed under: uncultured bacterium
Lineage: Bacteria
Description: partial 16S ribosomal RNA
Rfam family: Bacterial small subunit ribosomal RNA
Source: RNAcentral
GAUGAACGCUGGCGGCGUGCCUAAUACAUGCAAGUCGAGCGAACAGACGAGGAGCUUGCUCCUCUGACGUUAGCGGCGGACGGGUGAGUAACACGUAGAUAACCUACCUAUAAGACUGGGAUAACUUCGGGAAACCGGAGCUAAUACCGGAUAAUAUAUUGAACCGCAUGGUUCAAUAGUGAAAGACGGUUUUGCUGUCACUUAUAGAUGGAUCCGCGCCGCAGUAGCUAGUUGGUAAGGUAACGGCUUACCAAGGCAACGAUGCGUAGCCGACCUGAGAGGGUGAUCGGCCACACUGGAACUGAGACACGGUCCAGACUCCUACGGGAGGCAGCAGUAGGGAAUCUUCCGCAAUGGGCGAAAGCUUGACGGAGCAACGCCGCGUGAGUGAUGAAGGUCUUCGGAUCGUAAAACUCUGUUAUUAGGGAAGAACAAAUGUGUAAGUAACUAUGCACGUCUUGACGGUACCUAAUCAGAAAGCCACGGCUAACUACGUG